RNAcentral lists this ribosomal RNA (252 nucleotides) under uncultured Acidobacteriota bacterium. RNAcentral describes it as "uncultured Acidobacteria bacterium partial 16S ribosomal RNA". It matches the Rfam family "Bacterial small subunit ribosomal RNA", at positions 524 to 776 of the family's 1533-position model. Lineage: Bacteria; Pseudomonadati; Acidobacteriota. The record is from RNAcentral.
UACAGAGGGGGCAAGCGUUGUUCGGAAUUACUGGGCGUAAAGGGCGCGUAGGCGGCCAUUUAAGUCAGACGUGAAAUCCCCGGGCUCAACCCGGGACUGCGUCUGAUACUGGAUGGCUUGAAUCCGGGAGAGGGAUGUGGAAUUCCAGGUGUAGCGGUGAAAUGCGUAGAUAUCUGGAGGAACACCGGUGGCGAAGGCGGCAUCCUGGACCGGUAUUGACGCUGAGGCGCGAAAGCCAGGGGAGCAAACGGG